Molecule: long non-coding RNA, 926 nt
Filed under: Cricetulus griseus (Chinese hamster)
Lineage: Eukaryota; Metazoa; Chordata; Mammalia; Rodentia; Cricetidae
Description: lncRNA (ENSCGRG00000025543.1)
Source: RNAcentral
UGUGAGGGAGGCCUGCCUGAGGAGCAAGGGCCCUGACGGGCCUCUCUGUUGGACCUUUCUCCCAGAGGGACGAGCGAGCCGCCCCCGCCGAGGAGCUGCCCCGACGGCCCUGCUGAAGAAUGAAUGGUGCCCCUCAGCCCGGCCUUCCCCAGAGAGGACCUGCCUGCCUGCCUGCCGGCGGCCCACGCUGAGCUUUCUCAAAGGCGAAACCAAUCCAGUGACAAUCUAUCACUUGACUGGUAAUAGAGUCUGCUGGAGAGCAGGUAGAAGCCAGAGGGACUGUCACCACCAUCGCCAAGCUCUAUCUCACCUAUCUAUCUCACCUGGAGAGUUAAUCGCCUCUUGGAAUCUCAGCUGACCAGUGACAGUGCCUCUCAAGACAAGGCAUACAUGGGCCCCUGAUGCCCUGAGCUGUGGACUUAAAUGACUGCAAAGGUCAAAUCUCAGCCCAGUUGCUUAGUGUGUGUGUGUGUAUACAUGUGGCCAGAGGUCAACAUCCAGUGUCUUCUUAUUAACCUUAUUUUAUAUUUUAUUUACCUCUUUUGUUUUUCAAGACAGGGUUUCUCUGUGUAGCCCUGGCUGUCCUGGAACUCUCUCUAUAGACCAGGCUGGCCUCAAACUCACAGAGAUCCGCCUGCCUCUGCAAUGCUGCUUCCCAAGGCGUGCGCCACCACCGCCACCAGGCUCCACCUUAUUUUUUGAGCCAGAGUCUCACUGAAUCUGGAGCUCACCUACUACCAGCGGGUCUCAGGGACCCUCCUGCCUCUGCAGAGCCGGGCUGUGGGUGUGGGCUGCAGCACCUGGCCCCUCACAUGGUUACUGUAGAAGACCCAGGUCCUCAGUUGACGAAGCAAGCCUAGACCAUCUGAGCUGUCCCCUCAGCUCUCAACCCUGGCAUCUGCGUCUUAGCUACCUGUAUGACUUCC